CCUACGGGAGGCAGCAGUGGGGAAUAUUGCACAAUGGGGGAAACCCUGAUGCAGCGACGCCGCGUGCGGGAUGAAGGCCUUCGGGUUGUAAACCGCUUUCAGCAGGGACGAAAUUGACGGUACCUGCAGAAGAAGCACCGGCUAACUACGUGCCAGCAGCCGCGGUAAUACGUAGGGUGCAAGCGUUGUCCGGAAUUAUUGGGCGUAAAGAGUUCGUAGGCGGUUUGUCGCGUCCGUUGUGAAAGCUUGGGGCUCAACCCCAAGUCUGCAGUGGAUACGGGCAGACUAGAGUCAGGUAGGGGAGAACGGAAUUCCUGGUGUAGCGGUGAAAUGCGCAGAUAUCAGGAGGAACACCGGUGGCGAAGGCGGUUCUCUGGGCCUGUACUGACGCUGAGGAACGAAAGCGUGGGGAGCGAACAGGAUUAGAUACCCUGGUAGUCCACGCCGUAAACGGUGGGCGCUAGAUGUGGGGACCUUCCACGGUUUCUGCGUCGCAGCUAACGCAUUAAGCGCCCCGCCUGGGGAGUACGGUCGCAAGACUAAAACUCAAAGGAAUUGACGGA
RNAcentral lists this ribosomal RNA (563 nucleotides) under uncultured bacterium. RNAcentral's name for it is "bacterial SSU rRNA". It matches the Rfam family "Bacterial small subunit ribosomal RNA", at positions 338 to 917 of the family's 1533-position model. The record is from RNAcentral.